GGUGGCUCAGUGGUAAAGCACUUGCCUUGCAUGCAUAAGGCCCUGGGUUCGAUUCCUCAGCACCA
Dipodomys ordii (Ord's kangaroo rat) is the source of this 65-nucleotide non-coding RNA. Lineage: Eukaryota; Metazoa; Chordata; Mammalia; Rodentia; Heteromyidae. The record is from Rfam.